Molecule: long non-coding RNA, 1792 nt
Organism: Clupea harengus (Atlantic herring)
Lineage: Eukaryota; Metazoa; Chordata; Actinopteri; Clupeiformes; Clupeidae
Source: Ensembl
GCACCCUGCUGUAGUUCUGCUCCCUGCAGCUGAUUCAUGUUGAACAUGAUAUUCAUCUGCCUAUAUACUGCUGGAUCAUUAUUUGUGUGUAUGUGUGUGUGUGUGUGUGUGUGCGCGUGUGUGUGUGUGUGUGUGUGUGCGCGCAUGUUCACAGCAGAACCACAGUGCAAAAGGCAAUGGGAAGAAGCACCAGGACUCUCCCAACCUAAAGAAAAAAUCAAACGGGGUCAGCACACAACAGAAAGAAGAAAAGAAACUUCAGCCCAGAAGACUACAAGACAACUUCGACACAGAUGCUGCCUGCAACUUGAACGGCCUCAACGGCCAGGGCGCGAGCCGGCCGGACGCCGUCAAUGGUGACUUUGAGCACAUCAUGUCCUCCAGGUCCUUCCUGGGCUUUAAGUUUGACAGGGAAGCCAUCAUGAAGUGUUUUGAGUCCUGAGGCUCCCGUCCGCCGUGUCCCAGUAUUAGCCCAUAGUGAGACUUUGAGCGUCGCUGGGCAGCACAUGUACUAUUCCCUCUCCAGUCCAAAGGAAACACGUUUGCAGAGCUCCGAGUUGGGGAUAGGGACAGUGAAGGGCCUGACGGUGUGAAUCGGACCAACUUCUUGAAUAAAGUGGCAGAAGUGUUUUAUAUAGCUAUAUAUUUUUCCAGCCCAGAAAAGGCAAGCAUCAUGGUAGCUCGCAGCGGGCGGUUGGUUCUGGAGCCGCUUGGACCCGGAGUGGUGAACCGCGUCCAAACCUGGUUUUGGUGGCGGAGUACGGUGUGAAUGUGACAGAAACUGCAUCUUGUCUGAACCCCACAGGGGGCCACUUGGGAGAGCCCGCCCCCGCAUCUUGAGUGCACCAGUUGAUGAUUGGACGUGCUCGUUAGUGUGUGUCUAUGGGUGUGCUGAUGGGGAGGUUAUGUAAUGUUAUGUAUCCUUAGCCAGACUCCUCUCCCUCUCCCACUAUGUGUGUCUGAUACACGAGACAUCUGCAGGUACUGUACUGAUCAUAUUUUGCACGCAUUGCACCAACACGCUAAGUACCAUCAGUUUGGGGUGGGGGUGGGGUGUAGAAUUGUCUCUGUGAAGGUCUUGCAGGAACAGGGCAAAGGAACUCUUGCACUUUUAUAACGCUGUUGAGGAAGUGGUCCUCUCGUGAUGAAUGUUACUUUAAAAAGAAGCUGUUUGUUCGAAAUGAUGAGGGUUUCUUCAGGGCACUGUUCUCCUCUUCCGACUCGCCCUUAAAAUUCACACACACACACACACACACCAUCACACGUCUACUCAAUAAAUGCAUUAGCAAGUCACUGUUUUAAUUACCGUGUGGUUUAAACAGUUGUUUUCAGCUUUUCUGAGCCAGCAUUGAUUAGUACUGAAACCUGAUUGUGGAUCUGCAAUGGCUUCUCCUGGUAUCAUGAUGACCCAUCCUUCACAUAUUCGCUUCUCUUACAUAGAGCUUCGAAAGGUGUCUGUUAUCAACACUGAACUGUACAUUUCUAGCAGUGUUUCUCUUUGUAAAAAAAAAAAACACAAAAAAAACACAAAAAAUGCUUCCUUUUAUUUUUUAUUACGUGACUGCUUGAUUUGUGUUUCAUCAGGAAGAAUAGUAAUUUCCAUGCUUGUUUGUGAUCUGUGAACCGGCACUGAAUUCUUUGUGUGUUUUUUUUUCAUUGUUUUGUUUGUUUGCUUUUUUUAUUACAGUAAAUCCAGUAACAUUUGGACAGAAUAGUUUGAAAUAAUGGAGUUCCACCAGUAUGCAAUGUGGUUCACAUAGUUCCCAAGCUUUGGGGGGGGGUUUGCGUUUGC